AAUCAACGCUGGCGGCGUGCCUCAGACAUGCAAGUCGAACGCGAAAGUCCCCUUCGGGGGACAAGUAGAGUGGCGCACGGGUGAGUAACACGUAGGUAAUCUACCUUUGGAUGGGGAAUAACAACCGGAAACGGUUGCUAAUACCGCAUAAUGCAGCGGCACCUAAUGGUGCAGUUGUUAAAGCGGGGGAUCGAAAGACCUCGCGUCUGAAGAGGAGCCUGCGGCGGAUUAGCAGUUGGUAAGGUAAUGGCUUACCAAGGCUACGAUCCGUAACCGGCCUGAGAGGGCGGUCGGUCACACUGACACUGACAUACGGGUCAGACUCCUACGGGAGGCAGCAGUCGGGAAUUUUGGACAAUGGGCGCAAGCCUGAUCCAGCCAUGCCGCGUGCGGGAAG
Molecule: ribosomal RNA, 397 nt
Filed under: uncultured bacterium
Lineage: Bacteria
Description: bacterial SSU rRNA
Rfam family: Bacterial small subunit ribosomal RNA
Source: RNAcentral